AACGCACAUUGCGCCCGCCAGUAUUCUGGCGGGCAUGCCUGUCCGAGCGUCAUUUCAACCCUCGAACCCCUCCGGGGGGUCGGCGUUGGGGAUCGGCCCUUUCACCGGGUGCCGUCCCCCAAAUACAGUGGCGGUCUCGCCGCAGCCUCUCAUGCGCAGUAGUUUGCACACUCGCACCGGGAGCGCGGCGCGCCCACGUCCGUAAAACACCCCAAACUUCUGAAAUGUUGACCUCGGAUCAGGUAGGAAUACCCGCUGAACUUAA
RNAcentral lists this unclassified non-coding RNA (265 nucleotides) under uncultured Trichoderma. RNAcentral describes it as "sequence contains ITS2". The stretch from base 1 to 52 matches the Rfam family "5.8S ribosomal RNA", at positions 103 to 154 of the family's 154-position model. Lineage: Eukaryota; Fungi; Ascomycota; Sordariomycetes; Hypocreales; Hypocreaceae. The record is from RNAcentral.